This is a long non-coding RNA of Felis catus (domestic cat), 1867 nucleotides long. RefSeq lists it as uncharacterized. The transcript has 2 exons. NCBI's taxonomy places the organism in Eukaryota, Metazoa, Chordata, Mammalia, Carnivora, Felidae. The record is from RefSeq and is a predicted model, not a curated record.
AGGAAUUGGGGACACAGAGUGAUUACUAUACUUUGGGUAUCCAGUAUCACAUAGGUCACACUCCUAUAGUGAUGAUGGGUGUAUUAACCACACGGCAGAUGUUGUGAUGGGGAAAUACAGAGUCAAUGUAUGUGCACAUCUCAUGUUACAAUAGCUAGUGGCUGUCGAUCACUAUCUUUUAAGUACUGGGUACUGUGUUACACACUCAUGAGUGUUAAUAUUUAUGGCACACCUGUGACGUAGUUUCUAUAAUUAUCCACUUCUUGCAGGCAGAAAAUGAAGUUUAAAGGGGUUAAACUGUCUGAGAUCAGUUAAUAAGAGACAGAGGCAAGAAUUAAACCCAAAGCUCCAGCUCUUAACCGGGCACAGCUUGGAUUUUAACCCACACACCAUGACUCCAAUGAAGACAUACAAGGUGGAACCUGUUGCUAAGUCAUGGCAAGCCAACAUAGUGUCCCAUCAGGACAAGGCUUUGCAACAGGAAUGAUUCAAUCACUCAGGAGGUAUUUUCGUUGACAUUAUAAUGAAUAAUUGUCUGGGCUGAUGGUUUGGGGAUUUUUUUUUCUCUUCACAAGAUUAACCACUCACUUGACCAGACUAAUCGACUCAACCAGUAAGUUCAGCAUCAUGAAAAUAUACUCCCUGAACUGAGAUUCAAAAUACGAAAUUAUAGGAUAUAUUUAACUGCCAAAAAGUAUAAUAAAAUAAAGUGGAGUUUGGGGCUGUGGAUUUAUAACAAAGACAGUGGUAGUCACUAUACUGGUCUUGAGCUGCUUAUACUGCUUCCCGCACAUUAGUGUGCACACAGAUCACAUGGGGAUACUGCUGAAGUACAAACUCUGAAUUGGUAUGCCUAGGGUGGGGCCAGAGAUUCUGUGUCUCUAACCUGCUUCCGGGAAAUACCAAUGCUACUGAUCCAGGGACCACAUUCUGAGCAGCACGGGUCUAGUAGUAUUCCCCCUAUCGCCCCAGCAUGAGGAUUAUCUGAAGCCUCCAUGAAAACUACACAGCCCCAGGAUCUACCCCAUCCUGCUGAAUUAAUAUCUCUAAGAGAGAGGCCGGGGAAGCUAAAUGUCUAUCGGGCACACAAAGUGACUCAGGUCAUCAGCCAGAAUUCCUGGUCUGGACAACUCUAAAAACCAACCCUCGGACUAUGAAUAUACUAUGCAUAUACAGAAGCAAUUAUCAAUUUUUAAAAUCCAAGUGUUGGCCUCUUUCAAUGUGUUGCAUCAACUGAUCUAUGCUAUUUAUGCUUAGUGAUUUAGGAGAUCUCAUUAUUUAAUGAACUAUAUGUAUAUUAGGCAGUCUUAGUAACAUGAGCCCUGUCUGUGUCAAAGACCCAGCCAUAAAACUUCACUUGGAAAUGGAUUAAGGCUGACAGAUACUAUACAUGUGCAUGCUUGAUGUUGAUAUGUAUGUAUGGCUAGGGUUUUAUUUGUGCAAGAAAUGUUAGCUGUCCAGCAGUUAAAACUGGAGGUGAAGAAGGACAAGAAUAAGCAGAAAAGUUAUAAGACUUUACAGCAUCUACAUUGACAAAACCAGCAAAUAUUACUACUAUUUGAGUCUCUGAUGCAAAACAGUUGUUUUACAGAUUGUCAAUCCUAUUUGAGAUGUGCCAGACUCUCCUUGUUUCAAUCAGAUAAUUAAAUGUCCAUCUUGCAAUUACCAACUGAUAUAUAAAUGUACACACACACACACACAUGUAUUACGAUUGCCAAAAAUGUUUUGUAGAAAACCAGAAGGUGUAUUUAUGGAAGCUCUUGUUUAGGACUUGCCUACUUGGCUCUGGACCAUUUUCCCACCCCAAGGAACCCCAUCCUUAUAAAAUAGAAUUGUUGGAAUUAAUAAAAUUAUCUACGUUCAAUUA